AAUUGUGCUACACGGUCCUGUAAGUAGUAGAGUAGCCUUGUUGUUACGAUCUACUGAGGGUAAGCCGUCCAUAGCCUAGAUUUGA
RNAcentral lists this ribosomal RNA (85 nucleotides) under Botrytis cinerea. RNAcentral describes it as "partial 28S ribosomal RNA". It matches the Rfam family "Eukaryotic large subunit ribosomal RNA", at positions 3318 to 3401 of the family's 3401-position model. Lineage: Eukaryota; Fungi; Ascomycota; Leotiomycetes; Helotiales; Sclerotiniaceae. The record is from RNAcentral. RNAcentral also lists the same sequence under 2 other names.